AGACUGGCAAGCGUGUGGGCAAGGUACUGCAUGCCUCCUUGCAGAGUGUUCUGCACAAGGAAGAAAGCCUGGGGCCCAAGAGACAGAAAGUUGGAUUCCUGGGAUGAUUUGCAGAUCAACUGCUCAACUGUGGAUUGUUUUUUACUUUUCCUUUUAAACCGGGGAACUGAAACUCCUAAAUCUUAAAACACCCUGGGGAAGGAGCUGAUUCACGAAGGAGAGCAUUUCAACCGUGGCAUUUGCUCUCUGCAUUCCAGUUAGCAAAUGGGUGACUAUCUACAGGCACCAUGACAGUGUUCCCAACAAGGCAGAAAUCAGCCUGGUCUCUCCUUCCCUGCUCCUGGUUGACUGCCUGUGACAUGACAAAACAUUGGCAGUGGUGGCGCAGAGAUGCAACUCGAGUGUGAAUAAAGUUAAGAAGCAUUUGCUUUUGA
RNAcentral lists this small RNA (434 nucleotides) under Pan troglodytes (chimpanzee). RNAcentral describes it as "processed transcript". Lineage: Eukaryota; Metazoa; Chordata; Mammalia; Primates; Hominidae. The record is from RNAcentral.